AAUACCGUAUCUGUCUGUUUGUUCUUGUCUUGUAUUGUAAUUAGACUUUGGAGAUUUUUUUAUGACUAGAUUUAAAUAUAGUGACAUUGCAGUAUUAUACUUUAAGUACUAGUACUGCUUAAGUCCACACUAGGGACCGUCUUCACCUUGUUUUACGAUCUUUUACGGUAUUAAUGAUUCUUUAAAAGUAUUGUUGAAGACCAUCCGGCAACUAUCAAGAUGAAGAGCAGAACACAAACUUUGACCAUUGAUCAUUUGUAUUUUUUCUAUGCAUUGACUUUGUGUGCGGUUAUGCCCCUAUACUCCUUUAUUAUCUGUUAAAGGUUCUCAACACGACUUAAUGCAAGUUUAACCUUUCAAUGUAAAAGGUCAUAUAUGGCAAUACCUUGUUUUUUUCUUCAAAUUAUUUGAUACGGGAAAAUAUGUGACCUUACUUUGAUUCAAAC
RNAcentral lists this long non-coding RNA (446 nucleotides) under Mytilus galloprovincialis (Mediterranean mussel). Lineage: Eukaryota; Metazoa; Mollusca; Bivalvia; Mytilida; Mytilidae. The record is from RNAcentral.